This 463-nucleotide ribosomal RNA is filed under the name uncultured bacterium. Its description in RNAcentral is "bacterial SSU rRNA". It matches the Rfam family "Bacterial small subunit ribosomal RNA", at positions 44 to 507 of the family's 1533-position model. The record is from RNAcentral.
AGGCUUAACACAUGCAAGUCGAGGGGUAGAGGAAGCUUGCUUCCUUGAAGACCGGCGCACGGGUGCGUAAACGCGUAUACAAUCUACCUUUACAGAGGGAUAGCCAGAGAAUUUGGAUUAAUACCUCAUAGUGUUUUCGGAUCGCAUGAUUUGAUUAUUAAAGUUCCAACGGUAAAAGAUGAGUAUGCGUCCCAUUAGCUAGAUGGUAAGGUAACGGCUUACCAUGGCAAUGAUGGGUAGGGGUCCUGAGAGGGAGAUCCCCCACACUGGUACUGAGACACGGACCAGACUCCUACGGGAGGCAGCAGUGAGGAAUAUUGGACAAUGGGCGCAAGCCUGAUCCAGCCAUGCCGCGUGCAGGAAUAAGGUCCUAUGGAUUGUAAACUGCUUUUAUACAGGAAGAAACACACCCUCGUGAGGGUACUUGACGGUACUGUAUGAAUAAGGACCGGCUAACUCCGUG